Molecule: long non-coding RNA, 258 nt
Organism: Patiria miniata (bat star)
Lineage: Eukaryota; Metazoa; Echinodermata; Asteroidea; Valvatida; Asterinidae
Exons: 2
Source: RefSeq, a predicted model, not a curated record
UCCGUUCCAUACAAGACUUUGCCAGCUCGGGAUCACAGCACACACGCUUGGAUGCAAUAAUGAAAUUCUAAUCAAUUUUUUUUUUUUACAGUGUUAUACAUGUGUACAGGGUUCUGCGUGUGCUGUGUUUAUUUCUGCGCGGACGCCAUGUGUGGCGGGCCAGUAUGCAAGAUAUGUAUAAAGUGAGUAAAUGUCACGAAUGGAGCACUACAGUACAUACCAAGAUGCUUCUGAAGGAUUUGCAGUGAAUAAACAACA